RNAcentral lists this unclassified non-coding RNA (240 nucleotides) under soil metagenome. RNAcentral describes it as "partial contains 5.8S ribosomal RNA, internal transcribed spacer 2, and large subunit ribosomal RNA". The record is from RNAcentral.
AAGACUAUAGACCUGCGGAGUACCUGCGGAGGGAUCAUUAUCGAGUUAGGGUCUUAGGCCCGACCUCCCAACCCUAUGUUUAUUAAACCGACGUUGCUUCGGCGGGCCCGUCUCGCGACCGCCGGAGGACUGUAAGAUGUCCUCUGGCCCGCGCCCGUCGGCGGCCCAAACCUUACCAAUCCUGACUUAAAAACGUUUGUCACUCUGAGUACCAUUUCUUGAAUGUAAAAGCAAAACUUU